UACUCUAUUACUCUGCAUCUAAUUCCACUUAACGUUCUGAGAACAUUUUUUCUGUAGGUUUUCGAAUGUAACUGUAGAGAGAUAGGAGAGUCAAUAGUGGUGGAACUGAUUUAUGUGUAGUGUUCUUACUUCAUGAAUACGGAUUGCCUACAGUUGUUUCAGCUGUCAAAAACAGGGGAAGAUUGAUUCCACUUUAAUGCUGGCCAAUCAACUUUUUUGCCUCAAUCUGA
Non-coding RNA from Cinara cedri, 230 nucleotides. NCBI's taxonomy places the organism in Eukaryota, Metazoa, Arthropoda, Insecta, Hemiptera, Aphididae. The record is from the annotation of a GenBank genome assembly.